Ictidomys tridecemlineatus (thirteen-lined ground squirrel) is the source of this 46-nucleotide non-coding RNA. Lineage: Eukaryota; Metazoa; Chordata; Mammalia; Rodentia; Sciuridae. The record is from Rfam.
UCAAAGGCUCUUUUCAGAGCCACCCACUAAUUCCUUUAAAAGUGCU